ACGGAGGAGGCAAGCGUUAUCCGGAAUUAUUGGGCGUAAAACGUCCGCAGGUGGCACUUCAAGUCUGUCGUCAAAGACUGGGGCUUAACCCUGGAAAGGCGGUGGAAACUGAAGCGCUAGAGUGUGGUAGGGGUAGAGGGAAUUCCCGGUGUAGCGGUGAAAUGCGUAGAUAUCGGGAGGAAUACCGAUGGCGAAGGCAGGUCUCUGGGCUAUAACUGACGCUCAUGCACGAAAGCGUGGGGAGCAAACAGGA
This 253-nucleotide ribosomal RNA is filed under the name uncultured prokaryote. RNAcentral's name for it is "partial 16S ribosomal RNA". It matches the Rfam family "Bacterial small subunit ribosomal RNA", at positions 525 to 777 of the family's 1533-position model. The record is from RNAcentral.